AUUGAACGCUGGCGGCGUGCCUAACACAUGCAAGUCGAGCGGUAACAGGUGUAGCAAUACAUGCUGACGAGCGGCGGACGGGUGAGUAACGCUUGGGAAUCUGCCUAUUAGUGGGGGACAACCCGGGGAAACUCGGGCUAAUACCGCAUACGCACUACGGUGGAAAGCCGGGGACCGCAAGGCCUGGCGCUAACAGAUGAGCCCAAGUCGGAUUAGCUAGUUGGUAGGGUAACGGCCACCAAGGCGACGAUCCGUAACUGGUCUGAGAGGACGACCAGUCACACCGGAACUGAGACACGGUCCGGACUCCUACGGGAGGCAGCAGUGGGGAAUAUUGGACAAUGGGCGAAAGCCUGAUCCAGCGACGCCGCGUGGGUGAAGAAGGCCUGCGGGUUGUAAAGCCCUUUCAGUGGGGAAGAAAAGUCUCGAGCUAACACCUCGGGGUCUUGACGUAACCCAUAGAAGAAGCACCGGCUAACUCUGUGCCAG
Molecule: ribosomal RNA, 489 nt
Filed under: uncultured bacterium
Lineage: Bacteria
Description: bacterial SSU rRNA
Rfam family: Bacterial small subunit ribosomal RNA
Source: RNAcentral